GACGAACGCUGGCGGCGUGCUUAACACAUGCAAGUCGAACGGAAAGGCCCUGCUUUUGUGGGGUGCUCGAGUGGCGAACGGGUGAGUAACACGUGAGUAACCUGCCCUUGACUUUGGGAUAACUUCAGGAAACUGGGGCUAAUACCGGAUAGGAGCUCCUGCUGCAUGGUGGGGGGUGGAAAGUUUCGGCGGUUGGGGAUGGACUCGCGGCUUAUCAGCUUGUUGGUGGGGUAGUGGCUUACCAAGGCUUUGACGGGUAGCCGGCCUGAGAGGGUGACCGGCCACAUUGGGACUGAGAUACGGCCCAGACUCCUACGGGAGGCAGCAGUGGGGAAUAUUGCACAAUGGGCGGAAGCCUGAUGCAGCAACGCCGCGUGCGGGAUGACGGCCUUCGGGUUGUAAACCGCUGUCGCCUGUGACGAAGCGUGAGUGACGGUAAUGAGUAAAGAAGCACCGGCUAACUACGUG
RNAcentral lists this ribosomal RNA (468 nucleotides) under uncultured bacterium. Its description in RNAcentral is "partial 16S ribosomal RNA". It matches the Rfam family "Bacterial small subunit ribosomal RNA", at positions 28 to 507 of the family's 1533-position model. The record is from RNAcentral.